UGUGCUUCAGAUGGAAAGCGACUUCUGA
RNAcentral lists this non-coding RNA (28 nucleotides) under Homo sapiens (human). Lineage: Eukaryota; Metazoa; Chordata; Mammalia; Primates; Hominidae. The record is from RNAcentral.